This 1603-nucleotide ribosomal RNA is filed under the name Salmonella enterica. Its description in RNAcentral is "partial 23S ribosomal RNA". It matches the Rfam family "Bacterial large subunit ribosomal RNA", at positions 1243 to 2827 of the family's 2925-position model. Lineage: Bacteria; Pseudomonadati; Pseudomonadota; Gammaproteobacteria; Enterobacterales; Enterobacteriaceae. The record is from RNAcentral.
UAAGCCUGUGAAGGUGUGUCGUGAGGCAUGCUGGAGGUAUCAGAAGUGCGAAUGCUGACAUAAGUAACGAUAAAGCGGGUGAAAAGCCCGCUCGCCGGAAGACCAAGGGUUCCUGUCCAACGUUAAUCGGGGCAGGGUGAGUCGACCCCUAAGGCGAGGCCGAAAGGCGUAGUCGAUGGGAAACGGGUUAAUAUUCCCGUACUUGGUGUUACUGCGAAGGGGGGACGGAGAAGGCUAUGUUGGCCGGGCGACGGUUGUCCCGGUUUAAGCGUGUAGGUGUGUGUUCCAGGUAAAUCCGGUUCACUUUAACACUGAGGCGUGACGACGAGGCACUACGGUGCUGAAGCAACAAAUGCCCUGCUUCCAGGAAAAGCCUCUAAGCAUCAGGUAACAUCAAAUCGUACCCCAAACCGACACAGGUGGUCAGGUAGAGAAUACCAAGGCGCUUGAGAGAACUCGGGUGAAGGAACUAGGCAAAAUGGUGCCGUAACUUCGGGAGAAGGCACGCUGACACGUAGGUGAAGUGAUUUACUCAUGGAGCUGAAGUCAGUCGAAGAUACCAGCUGGCUGCAACUGUUUAUUAAAAACACAGCACUGUGCAAACACGAAAGUGGACGUAUACGGUGUGACGCCUGCCCGGUGCCGGAAGGUUAAUUGAUGGGGUCAGCGCAAGCGAAGCUCCUGAUCGAAGCCCCGGUAAACGGCGGCCGUAACUAUAACGGUCCUAAGGUAGCGAAAUUCCUUGUCGGGUAAGUUCCGACCUGCACGAAUGGCGUAAUGAUGGCCAGGCUGUCUCCACCCGAGACUCAGUGAAAUUGAACUCGCUGUGAAGAUGCAGUGUACCCGCGGCAAGACGGAAAGACCCCGUGAACCUUUACUAUAGCUUGACACUGAACAUUGAGCCUUGAUGUGUAGGAUAGGUGGGAGGCUUUGAAGUGUGGACGCCAGUCUGCAUGGAGCCGACCUUGAAAUACCACCCUUUAAUGUUUGAUGUUCUAACGUGGACCCGUGAUCCGGGUUGCGGACAGUGUCUGGUGGGUAGUUUGACUGGGGCGGUCUCCUCCUAAAGAGUAACGGAGGAGCACGAAGGUUGGCUAAUCCUGGUCGGACAUCAGGAGGUUAGUGCAAUGGCAUAAGCCAGCUUGACUGCGAGCGUGACGGCGCGAGCAGGUGCGAAAGCAGGUCAUAGUGAUCCGGUGGUUCUGAAUGGAAGGGCCAUCGCUCAACGGAUAAAAGGUACUCCGGGGAUAACAGGCUGAUACCGCCCAAGAGUUCAUAUCGACGGCGGUGUUUGGCACCUCGAUGUCGGCUCAUCACAUCCUGGGGCUGAAGUAGGUCCCAAGGGUAUGGCUGUUCGCCAUUUAAAGUGGUACGCGAGCUGGGUUUAGAACGUCGUGAGACAGUUCGGUCCCUAUCUGCCGUGGGCGCUGGAGAACUGAGGGGGGCUGCUCCUAGUACGAGAGGACCGGAGUGGACGCAUCACUGGUGUUCGGGUUGUCAUGCCAAUGGCACUGCCCGGUAGCUAAAUGCGGAAGAGAUAAGUGCUGAAAGCAUCUAAGCACGAAACUUGCCCCGAGAUGAGUUCUCCCUGAGACUUAAAGUC